This 309-nucleotide unclassified non-coding RNA is filed under the name plant metagenome. RNAcentral describes it as "partial contains 5.8S ribosomal RNA, internal transcribed spacer 2, and large subunit ribosomal RNA". The stretch from base 1 to 105 matches the Rfam family "5.8S ribosomal RNA", at positions 50 to 154 of the family's 154-position model. The record is from RNAcentral.
GAAAUGCGAUAAGUAGUGUGAAUUGCAGAAUUCAGUGAAUCAUCGAAUCUUUGAACGCACAUUGCGCCCCUUGGUAUUCCAUGGGGCAUGCCUGUUCGAGCGUCAUUUGUACCCUCAAGCUCUGCUUGGUGUUGGGUGUUUGUCCCGUCUCCGCGCGUGGACUCGCCCCAAAGUGAUUGGCAGCCGGCGUACUGGUCCCGGAGCGCAGCACAUGUCGCGCAAACGAGUGCCUUGGUACGGCGGCGUCCAUAAGCCCCUCUCUCACGCUCUUGACCUCGGAUCAGGUAGGGUUACCCGCUGAACUUAAGC